GGCCGUGGCGGCGUGCUACCAUGCAAGUCGAGCGGAGCAAUCUUGAUGAAGUUUUCGGAUGGAAUCAGGAUUGACUUAGCGGCGGACGGGUGAGUAACACGUGGAUAACCUGCCUUAUACUGGGGGAUAACAGCCAGAAAUGGCUGCUAAUACCGCAUAAGCGCACGGCGCCGCAUGGCGCAGUGUGAAAAACUCCGGUGGUAUAAGAUGGAUCCGCGCCUGAUUAGCUAGUUGGCGGGGCAACGGCCCACCAAGGCGACGAUCAGUAGCCGGCCUGAGAGGGUGGACGGCCACAUUGGGACUGAGACACGGCCCAAACUCCUACGGGAGGCAGCAGUGGGGAAUAUUGGACAAUGGGGGGAACCCUGAUCCAGCGACGCCGCGUGAGUGAAGAAGUAUUUCGGUAUGUAAAGCUCUAUCAGCAGGGAAGAAAGAAAUGACGGUACCUGACUAAGAAGCCCCGGCUAACUACGUGCCAGCAGCCGCGGUAAUACGUAGGGGGCAAGCGUUAUCCGGAUUUACUGGGUGUAAAGGGAGCGUAGACGGCAGGGCAAGUCUGAAGUGAAAGGCGGGGGCCCAACCCCCGGACUGCUUUGGAAACUGUAUAACUGGAGUGCAGGAGAGGUAAGUGGAAUUCCUAGUGUAGCGGUGAAAUGCGUAGAUAUUACGAGGAACACCAGUGGCGAAGGCGGCUUACUGGACUGUAACUGACGUUGAGGCUCGAAAGCGUGGGGAGCAAACACGAUUAAAAUACCCUGCUAGUCCAUGCCGUAAACGAUGAUCACUAAGUGUCGGUGGGUAUGCACACAUCGGUUGCCUCGCAAUACGCUUAAAUGAUCCACCUGGGGAG
RNAcentral lists this ribosomal RNA (850 nucleotides) under uncultured bacterium. RNAcentral describes it as "bacterial SSU rRNA". It matches the Rfam family "Bacterial small subunit ribosomal RNA", at positions 31 to 880 of the family's 1533-position model. The record is from RNAcentral.